Molecule: ribosomal RNA, 792 nt
Filed under: uncultured Methanocellaceae archaeon
Lineage: Archaea; Methanobacteriati; Methanobacteriota; Methanomicrobia; Methanocellales; Methanocellaceae
Description: bacterial SSU rRNA
Rfam family: Archaeal small subunit ribosomal RNA
Source: RNAcentral
ACUGCUCAGUAACACGUGGAUAACCUGCCCAAGGGUCCGGGAUAACCCCGGGAAACUGGGGAUAAUACCGGAUGGAUCACUUAUGCUGGAAUGCUUGGUGGUCGAAAGGUGACGCCCUUGGAUGGGUCUGCGGCGGAUUAGGUUGACGCCGGUGUAACGUACCGGCGUGCCUGUAAUCCGUACGGGUUGUGGGAGCAAGAGCCCGGAGAUGGAUUCUGAGACACGAAUCCAGGCCCUACGGGGCGCAGCAGGCGCGAAAACUCUACAAUGCAGGCAACUGCGAUAGGGGGACAUCGAGUGGCAUCCACCUUGGGUGCCUGUCCCACCGUCUAAAAAACGGUGGUUAGCAAGGGCCGGGCAAGACCGGUGCCAGCCGCCGCGGUAAUACCGGCGGCUCGAGUGGUGGCCGAUAUUAUUGAGUCUAAAGGGUCCGUAGCCGGCUUUGCAAGUCCCCUGGGAAAUCCAGCGGCUUAACCGUUGGGCUUUCAUGGGAUACUACAUUGCUUGGGACUGGGAGAGGUAGGAGGUACUCGGGGGGUAGGGGUGAAAUCCUGUAAUCCCCCGGGGACCACCGGUGGCGAAGGCGUCCUACCAGAACAGGUCCGACGGUGAGGGACGAAAGCUAGGGGCACGAACCGGAUUAGAUACCCGGGUAGUCCUAGCCGUAAACGAUGCCCGCUAGGUGUCACGGCGGUCGUGAAUCGCCGUGGUGCCGUAGGGAAGCCGCGAAGCGGGCCACUUGGGAAGUACGGCCGCAAGGCUGAAACUUAAAGGAAUUGGCGGGGGAGCACA